GCAUCAGUAGUGCAACGAGUUAGAGCACACACUCCUAGAUAGAGUGAGAUGUGGGUUCGAGUCCCGCCUAACGCG
Parelaphostrongylus tenuis is the source of this 75-nucleotide non-coding RNA. NCBI's taxonomy places the organism in Eukaryota, Metazoa, Nematoda, Chromadorea, Rhabditida, Metastrongylidae. The record is from the annotation of a GenBank genome assembly.